UGGGGCGUAGCUGAGCUGGCAAAGCGCCCGGCUGUUAACCGGGAGAUCGCAGGUUCGAAUCCUGCCGCCCCAGCCU
This 76-nucleotide transfer RNA is filed under the name Gemmatimonadota bacterium. RNAcentral describes it as "Gemmatimonadetes bacterium (sediment metagenome) tRNA-Asn". It matches the Rfam family "tRNA". Rfam says of the family: Transfer RNA (tRNA) molecules are approximately 80 nucleotides in length. Their secondary structure includes four short double-helical elements and three loops (D, anti-codon, and T loops). Lineage: Bacteria; Pseudomonadati; Gemmatimonadota. The record is from RNAcentral.